UGGGGAAUAUUGCACAAUGGGCGCAAGCCUGAUGCAGCCAUGCCGCGUGUAUGAAGAAGGCCUUCGGGUUGUAAAGUACUUUCAGCGGGGAGGAAGGGAGUAAAGUUAAUACCUUUGCUCAUUGACGUUGCCCGCAGAAGAAGCACCGGCUAACUCCGUGCCAGCAGCCGCGGUAAUACGGAGGGUGCAAGCGUUAAUCGGAAUUACUGGGCGUAAAGCGCACGCAGGCGGUUUGUUAAGUCAGAUGUGAAAUCCCCGGGCUCAACCUGGGAACUGCAUCUGAUACUGGCAAGCUUGAGUCUCGUAGAGGGGGGUAGAAUUCCAGGUGUAGCGGUGAAAUGCGUAGAGAUCUGGAGGAAUACCGGUGGCGAAGGCGGCCCCCUGGACGAAGACUGACGCUCAGGUGCGAAAGCGUGGGGAGCAAACAGG
RNAcentral lists this ribosomal RNA (429 nucleotides) under Chloroflexota bacterium. RNAcentral describes it as "Chloroflexi bacterium partial 16S ribosomal RNA". It matches the Rfam family "Bacterial small subunit ribosomal RNA", at positions 355 to 776 of the family's 1533-position model. Lineage: Bacteria; Bacillati; Chloroflexota. The record is from RNAcentral.